UUUCUUUCUUUUUAUUUACCCAUUAUCUCGCGAGUAAAGGCUGUUUUGUUCAUUUAUUAAUGAAAGUCUCGCAUGAUGAACCCUGGAGCUGCUCCCCCCACCUCUGGGUCUGGAAGUCUGAUGGCCGGUUCUUCCAUGUCACAAGCUGAAAGAGAGAAGGUUUAUCAGUGGAUCGGGGAGCUUACGAGCCCAGACACACGAGAGAACGCUCUCCAGGAACUCAGGCACACCAGUCCAAUAGAGUGUGUAAUGCUCUGGCCCUCCUACAGUGUGUGGCGUCACAUCCUGAGACACCCUCAGCCUUCCUCACUGACAGAUGAACAAGAAGUGAUCAACUUCCUGCUUAACACAGAGAUUAUUCCACUUUGCCUAUAAAUCAUGGAUUCGGGGAUUGAGCUUUCAUAGUCAGUGGCGACCUUCAUUCCCCAGAAGAUUCUUGUUGGUGAAACAGGACUGUCGUAUAUUUUGCAGACCUAUGAUGAUUCUCCCACAAAGCCAUGAUUCUGUUUCUGUUCGGGGCAUUUAAGAACAGACAGCACCCGUGUACCGGACUGCAAGAUUCAUCUCUUCCAAAUGAUGUCUUACAUGUAGCUUUCCAGAAACUGCCGAUGGCGUAAAUCCAGUGCUGUGGGCCAGUUUUCCAGCCGUGUGGAAUUGACAUCUCCAGCCAAACUAGAGCCAGGAUUAAUAUCAUACUCAUUAACAGCAAGGGCAAAGUGGUGCUGCAUUCGUUUCCUGAGCUAUCGGCAUGAUUGCUUUAACAUGUUGAAUGACGUUUCCUUCGUCUGUCUGAUAAUCCCAGAAGCCUUGCGCCAGUGCUUGACAGACCAGCUGAAGGACAGACCAUUUGUCCACUGUCUCAAGAAUGAUAACUUCACGAAGCGCUGACUAGUGCAGCUCCAGCAAAACCUAGAAAAUCCGGGCGUGCCUGACCCAUGAAACCCUGGCAUCAACAGUGAGGGGGAGAGUGAAAUGGGAAGGGGGGUUUAGAGGAAUUGUGGAGUAUGGCUGGGAG
Mya arenaria is the source of this 1015-nucleotide RNA transcript. It is a transcript of the gene named CCR4-NOT transcription complex subunit 9-like, with no coding region annotated. The transcript has 9 exons. The record is from RefSeq and is a predicted model, not a curated record. Lineage: Eukaryota; Metazoa; Mollusca; Bivalvia; Myida; Myidae.